RNAcentral lists this ribosomal RNA (378 nucleotides) under Pallasiola absinthii. Its description in RNAcentral is "partial 28S ribosomal RNA". Lineage: Eukaryota; Metazoa; Arthropoda; Insecta; Coleoptera; Chrysomelidae. The record is from RNAcentral.
GGUCGAAAGAGGAAAUUCAUUCGCGUUUCGAUCGUUGAAGUUGAACGUUUGUAUGACGGAUGAUGUGCUUCGGCGCAUGUGUUUGCAUCUUACGUUCUUCGAAUCGACGUCGAACGCGUGCACUUUUCCUCUAGUAGGACGUCGUGAUCCGUUGGGCGUCUGUCUAAGACUCGGGGUGGAGACCACGUGAUUUUUCGAUUUUAUGUGGACCCUCGAUGUUCCGACAGACUCGCUCGACGGUAUAAAUAUGGCGCGGGGCCGCUACAUUAGUUAGCGUUCGGCCCGUAGCAAGCACGUUUCGUGUUUGACGGCGAUCGGACCUAGUGCCGAUUCUGUCCCGGAACGACUGUUGGUUACGGUGUUCUCGAACAGACCUCG